UGGCCUGCAAAACAGCUAAGGUCCGUCCUGCAACUGCCCUUACUUAGGGCUCCCAACAAGGGUGGGAGGAAGCUGCUCUUCUUCCCUGCAUCUAGUAGGCCAGACGAGGGUGGACCCAGCGGAAAACACUGUAGCCUGCAAAGGACUAUGGAGGCCUGCACUGAGGGGUGAAAGAGUUAGUAGCCUGCGGAGCUGAGGCUUUAAGAAGAACAUCAAAUAUGGCUUCCUUGGAGAUUCAGCCGUCUCGCUAUGAUGCACACAAUAGGUUGGCCCCUAGGCCGAGCCUGACAAUGUGCAGUAGCAGAUAGGCAGCGUGCUAACAGCCCAGCCCAGAGGGAG
Molecule: long non-coding RNA, 339 nt
Organism: Mauremys reevesii (Reeves's turtle)
Lineage: Eukaryota; Metazoa; Chordata; Testudines; Geoemydidae
Exons: 3
Source: RefSeq, a predicted model, not a curated record